Long non-coding RNA from Ziziphus jujuba (common jujube), 1185 nucleotides. RefSeq lists it as uncharacterized. The transcript has 2 exons. Lineage: Eukaryota; Viridiplantae; Streptophyta; Magnoliopsida; Rosales; Rhamnaceae. The record is from RefSeq and is a predicted model, not a curated record.
GCCAGUGCACCCACAGAUUUCGAGCCAUUUGGGGCAAAUUGCCAUUCCUAUCGGGAAGAUCUUGUUAUGGACAAUUUCCUUUUAUAUCACCAAAGUUUUUUUUCAAAAACUAAAAAUGUUUCCCUUUCUAAAUCUUUCAUUAACCCUAAUUUUCUUCUCAUAAAUAAAAAUCUUCAGCCCCUGACCAUGUUCAUACACAGUACAUUCUCAAGCCUCCACAGCUCUCAAAUCAGCUUUGAAGCCAACUGCCUUUUUCUUUUGCCACAACGCCAACAGCGAAAUCGCAUGGCUGAUCUUACUGUUAGGUGCUCGAUCUUAGAGAAAGUUAAGAUUUUCUAUACUUGCUUGUUUAUUCCAUAGGCCUCUGAAACUCAUUUUGGCUCAUAUUAUAUUCCAAUCUUUUGUUGCAAUUACUAAGCAUGUUCAUUGGUUUGUCUGCCUCCAUGAUUUCAACCUCUGUGUCAUUGGUUCUUUUUGAAUGUUUUUAAUUGAAUGGUAUCCUAACUUCAAACUUUAGUAGUUCAAAUCCUAUUGACUAACUACUUGUGAAGUCUUGUUAUUGUUUGUGGGCAACUCACCUGAAUAAUAUAUAUAACUGACCUUGCAAAGGCUUCAUGGUUUUCUUUCUCUUACAGGUUGCAGUGUCCACAUAUAUAUCCAUGCCAUUGCAAAGCUUUUGCUGUCCACAAAAGUCGUUCCUGUAUUCCUUGGCCUUAUUAUUUUUUUUAAAAGGGAUGCCUUCAACAUUGACCUACUAUUAAACCGUGCAUUGAACGUCUCAAGUUAUCUAGCCACCAAUAAAGACAAAUUGUCAUACAUGGAGCAGCUUGAGCAUGCUGUCAAUCACACCAAAGAUGCUAUUGAUGACAUGAUCUUGAUCAAGAGGAACCUACUCUACAUUGAAUUUCGCCUCGGUCCUCGAUUCAAAGAUAAAAUGCCUUAUGAAGUUGAAGCUAUAUUCCACACUUGCCCCGAUAGAGUUUUAUUGUUCUUCUCAACAUCCUUAGACUAGGUUAAGAGGGAAGAUUCUAAACCUUUCAAGUUGUGGCCGGUCAUGCCUCCGGGGUGGAUUAUAUGGAUGGAUUAUCGGGUUACUAUAGUACUUGGAAAAAAUCUGUAAUUUAUGCUGUGAUACAUCUAUCCUAUCUUGACAUCCCAUGUGAUAAAGGCCUGAUUGCAACGGCA